This 301-nucleotide ribosomal RNA is filed under the name uncultured bacterium. RNAcentral describes it as "partial 16S ribosomal RNA". It matches the Rfam family "Bacterial small subunit ribosomal RNA", at positions 509 to 807 of the family's 1533-position model. The record is from RNAcentral.
CAGUCGCCACGGUAAUACGUAGGUGGCAAGCGUUGUCCGGAAUUAUUGGGCGUAAAGGGCUCGCAGGCGGUUUCUUAAGUCUGAUGUGAAAGCCCCCGGCUCAACCGGGGAGGGUCAUUGGAAACUGGGAAACUUGAGUGCAGAAGAGGAGAGUGGAAUUCCACGUGUAGCGGUGAAAUGCGUAGAGAUGUGGAGGAACACCAGUGGCGAAGGCGACUCUCUGGUCCGUAACUGACGGUGAGGAGCGAAAGCGUGGGGAGCGAACAGGAUUAGAUACCCCGGUAGUCCCUGUCUCUUAUAC